Molecule: ribosomal RNA, 713 nt
Filed under: Salmonella enterica
Lineage: Bacteria; Pseudomonadati; Pseudomonadota; Gammaproteobacteria; Enterobacterales; Enterobacteriaceae
Description: partial 23S ribosomal RNA
Rfam family: Bacterial large subunit ribosomal RNA (bases 92-713)
Source: RNAcentral
ACCAAAGCGUUUCGCUUUGCGUGGUGCGCAAAAUGCGUAACGACAGCACGAUUGCGGUUAACGGAGCGUAAGCGACGUUCAACACAAAAAUCAGGCAGUGGAGCGUUUUGGGGUGGGGUGACUGCGUACCUUUUGUAUAAUGGGUCAGCGACUUAUAUUCUGUAGCAAGGUUAACCGCAUAGGGGAGCCGGAGGGAAACCGAGUCUUAAUUGGGCGUUAAGUUGCAGGGUAUAGACCCGAAACCCGGUGAUCUAGCCAUGGGCAGGUUGAAGGUUGGGUAACACUAACUGGAGGACCGAACCGACUAAUGUUGAAAAAUUAGCGGAUGACCUGUGGCUGGGGGUGAAAGGCCAAUCAAACCGGGAGAUAGCUGGUUCUCCCCGAAAGCUAUUUAGGUAGCGCCUCGUGAAUUCAUCUCCGGGGGUAGAGCACUGUUUCGGCCAGGGGGCCAUCCCGGCUUACCAAUCCGAUGCAAACUGCGAAUACCGGAGAAUGUUAUCACGGGAGACACACGGCGGGUGCUAACGUCCGUCGUGAAGAGGGAAACAACCCAGACCGCCAGCUAAGGUCCCAAAGUCAUGGUUAAGUGGGAAACGAUGUGGGAAGGCCCAGACAGCCAGGAUGUUGGCUUAGAAGCAGCCAUCAUUUAAAGAAAGCGUAAUAGCUCACUGGUCGAGUCGGCCUGCGCGGAAGAUGUAACGGGGCUAAACCAU